AUGGCAACAGAAUCCACAACAACAAUGACUUUUAUCAGCAUCUUCAUCUGGGCACUUGUCAUCUGCACUCAAGAAUCCAGUGGACAGUAUACUGUGACUCAGACUCCAGCAGUGAAAUCUGUUCUCCCAGGAGACACAGUCGCUCUGAGCUGUAAAGUCAGCAGCGCAGUGUACAGUGAUAACAACUACCUAGCCUGGUACCAACAGAAACCUGGAGAAGCUCCCAAACUCCUGAUCUACUUGGCAAGUACCCUUCAGUCUGGGAUCCCAACUCGUUUCAGUGGCAGUGGAUCUGGGACUGACUUCACUCUGACCAUCAGUGGAGUCCAGGCUGAAGAUGCAGGAGAUUACUACUGUCAGAGUUACCACUACCCCAGCAGUAGCUAUGUGUUCACACAGUGCUACACACCCGUACAAAAACCUCCCUCA
Non-coding RNA from Polyodon spathula (Mississippi paddlefish), 429 nucleotides. The record is from the annotation of a RefSeq genome assembly. NCBI's taxonomy places the organism in Eukaryota, Metazoa, Chordata, Actinopteri, Acipenseriformes, Polyodontidae.